UACGAAGGGGGCUAGCGUUGUUCGGAUUUACUGGGCGUAAAGCGCACGUAGGCGGAUCGUUAAGUCGAGGGUGAAAUCCUGGAGCUCAACUCCAGAACUGCCUUCGAUACUGGCGAUCUCGAGUCCGGAAGAGGUGAGUGGAACUCCUAGUGUAGAGGUGGAAUUCGUAGAUAUUAGGAAGAACACCAGUGGCGAAGGCGGCUCACUGGCCCGGUACUGACGCUGAGGUGCGAAAGCGUGGGGAGCAAACAGG
RNAcentral lists this ribosomal RNA (253 nucleotides) under uncultured bacterium. RNAcentral's name for it is "partial 16S ribosomal RNA". It matches the Rfam family "Bacterial small subunit ribosomal RNA", at positions 524 to 776 of the family's 1533-position model. The record is from RNAcentral.